AGGAUUAACGCUGGCGGCGUGCCUAACACAUGCAAGUCGAACGAGGUAGCAAUACCUAGUGGCAGACGGGUGAGUAACGCGUGGUCAACCUACCGUUGAGUGGGGGAUAACUAGCCGAAAGGUUAGCUAAUACCGCAUACGAGUCUUGGGGGCAUCCCCGGGCCUUAAAAGGAGCAAUCCGCUCGAUGACGGGACCGCGUCCCAUUAGCUAGAUGGUGGGGUAACGGCCUACCAUGGCUCCGAUGGGUAGCUGGUUUGAGAGAGCGACCAGCCACACUGGGACUGAGAAACGGCCCAGACUCCUACGGGAGGCAGCAGUGAGGAAUUUUCCGCAAUGGGCGAAAGCCUGACGGAGCGACGCCGCGUGUGGGAAGAAGGCCUUCGGGUCGUAAACCACUGUCGAAGGGACGAUAAUGACGGUACCCUUGGAGGAAGCCCCGGCUAACUACGUGCCAGCAGCCGC
RNAcentral lists this ribosomal RNA (463 nucleotides) under uncultured bacterium. RNAcentral describes it as "SSU rRNA". It matches the Rfam family "Bacterial small subunit ribosomal RNA", at positions 26 to 518 of the family's 1533-position model. The record is from RNAcentral.